RNAcentral lists this ribosomal RNA (439 nucleotides) under uncultured marine bacterium. Its description in RNAcentral is "bacterial SSU rRNA". It matches the Rfam family "Bacterial small subunit ribosomal RNA", at positions 517 to 956 of the family's 1533-position model. The record is from RNAcentral.
GCGGUAAUACGGAGGGGGUUAGGGUURUUCGGAAUUACUGGGCGUAAAGCGCACGUCGGCGGACUGGAAAGUUGGGGGUGAAAUCCCGGGGCUCAACCUCGGAACUGCCUCCAAAACUAUCAGUCUAGAGUUCGAGAGAGGUGAGUGGAAUUCCAAGUGUAGAGGUGAAAUUCGUAGAUAUUUGGAGGAACACCAGUGGCGAAGGCGGCUCACUGGCUCGAUACUGACGCUGAGGUGCGAAAGUGUGGGGAGCAAACAGGAUUAGAUACCCUGGUAGUCCACACCGUAAACGAUGAAUGCCAGUCGUCGGCAAGUAUACUUGUCGGUGACACACCUAACGGAUUAAGCAUUCCGCCUGGGGAGUACGGUCGCAAGAUUAAAACUCAAAGGAAUUGACGGGGGCCCGCACAAGCGGUGGAGCAUGUGGUUUAAUUCGAAG